GUAGUCCACGCUGUAAACGAUGAAUGCUAGUUGUCGGCACGCAUGCGUGUCGGUGACGCAGCUAACGCAUUAAGCAUUCCGCCUGGGGAGUACGGCCGCAAGGUUAAAACUCAAAGGAAUUGACGGGGGCCCGCACAAGCGGCGGAGCAUGCGGAUUAAUUCGAUGCAACGCGAAGAACCUUACCAAGGCUUGACAUGGGGUGAAAACUCGCAGAGAUGCGGGGUCCGUAAGGGCGCCUCACAGGUGGUGCAUGGUUGUCGUCAGCUCGUGUCGUGAGAUGUUGGGUUAAGUCCCGCAACGAGCGCAACCCUCGUUCUAUGUUGCCAGCACGUGGUGGUGGGGACUCAUAGGAGACUGCCGGGGUCAACUCGGAGGAAGGUGGGGACGACGUCAAAUCAUCAUGCCCCUUACGUCUUGGGCUUCACGCAUGCUACAAUGGCCAGUACAAAGGGCUGCGAGACCGUGAGGUGGAGCGAAUCCCAAAAAGCUGGUCUCAGUUCGGAUCGGGGUCUGCAACUCGACCCCGUGAAGUCGGAGUCGCUAGUAAUCGCAGAUCAGCAACGCUGCGGUGAAUACGUUCCCGGGCCUUGUACACACCGCCCGUCACGUCAUGAAAGUCGGUAACACUCGAAGCCGGUGGCCCAACCCCUUGUGGGAGGGAGCUGUCGAAGGUGGGACUGGCGAUUAGGACG
Molecule: ribosomal RNA, 693 nt
Filed under: uncultured bacterium
Lineage: Bacteria
Description: bacterial SSU rRNA
Rfam family: Bacterial small subunit ribosomal RNA
Source: RNAcentral